GAAAUAUUAUUAUACAUUAAUAUAUUCAGUUACACUUAUAAAAUGAAAAAUAAAAAAUUAUAUCCUAUUAUUUUAUCUAUUAUACAAUCAUAAGCAAUCAUUUUAUAAGAAAAUUAUUAUAUUGAUAUAGAUAUGAUAAAAUUAUGUUAAAUUAAUACAUUUAUAUAUAAUUUAUUUUCAUAAUUAUAAUUAUUUAUGUUCAAAAAUAUAAUACAUUGUUAAGACGGGUUAACAAUAACAAACUAUGUAAUACAUGUAUAAAAAUUAACAUAUAUUUCAUCAAAGCUAAUAAUAUAAAAUAUUUGUAACUACUUUAAUCAUGAUAUCUUUUUAUUAUAUAUAUGUAAAUAUAUAUAUCUAUAAUACAUGUAUAAAAAUUAACAUAUAUUUCAUCAAAGCUAAUAAUAUAAAAUAUUUGUAACUACUUUAAUCAUGAUAUCUUUUUAUUAUAUAUAAAUAUAAAUAUAUAUAUAUAUAUAUAUAUAUAAAGAAAUGUUUGCCCAUCUCCUGUGCUACCACAUCAUCAAUUUGGUGAAGGAGAGUGCGACACCUAUCCUUCCUUUCAAAACGUCGCGUUAGAUAAUGCAAAAUACAAUACAAUAUUUAAAUAUAUACUGAAAUUUUAAAUUUGUUAGAUAAUGCAAAAUAUAAUUUUUCCGUCAAAAUUUCAAAAACCAGAACAAAAAAUUAAGUUUUAGCUAAAACAGAAAAUCAAAUUUUUUCGACAAAAACUAAAAAUCGAGUUUUCCCCCACAACUAAGAAUCAGGUUUUUCUGUCAAAAACGAAAACUGAGUUUUUCCCACCAUAAACUAAAAAUCGAGUAUUCCAGCAAAAUCACAAAAUCAAAUUUCCCGCCAAAACCGAAAAAAACUCAAUUUUAAGUUAUAGCUGAAAAACUCGAUAUUGCGGUUUUGGCGGAAAAACUCGAUUUUGCGAUUUUGGCAUGUAAACUUGAUUUUGAUGCUCAACAAAUUGGAGGAAAUAAUCAUAUCAUUUCUUAAUUUUUCUAAUUUUAUCUUUAAAAUUUAAGAACAAAAAUAAAUGAAAUAUUUUUUCAAUUAAAUAGGGUAACCUGGUACCAGCUCUAACUCUUGAUUAUAAUAGGGUUAAAAUAGGGCUGGGUUAAAAUAGGGAUGGGCUUAUAAUAAACAAAAGAGGGUUGGGCCCUAACCCUGUAGUUAACAUCCCUAGGCACACGCUAUAACCGUUGGGAAGCGUACCAGAACCAGCUGGGGUUGUGUCCGUCAGCUCAGCCGUAGUCUUAGUCCUAACAUGAUUGUCUAGAGGCCCGAGUAGCUUAACUUAAGUGAUGUUAAAAAAAGUGAAGCUGAUUAUCAGCCGUUGCCAUCUCAGCUAAGCAUUUGUUCAGGGGCAAGCGUUACAAAGGUCAACAAUGGCACACAAUUGGUGAGUGCAACUAAGUUUACUUCAAGUCAGUUCCACGAUCUCUGCAUAUAAGGAUUUGAUGACAAAGUGGAAACUCAGAAUUUCAUCUUCUUUGCGUUGACCAUUUUUGAAACAGAACCUUCUGGUCAUGGUGAAUUCACAAAUCCAUCUCUCCGAAAUGAAGCCAGGGCGUAGCAAGCAGGUUGUGUUCACACGUCUGCUUUGGUUUUGGGGAUCUAGAAUGUUAAGAAAGGAGGAAAGCUAAUUGGGUUGACAUGGUGUUUGUCGCAGAAAAGGUUAGUAACAGAUCUUUUGUUUCUUAUGUAUCUAUAAAUGUAAAAGUGGUGUUUGUCUUAAACAAAAGAAUUGUAUUUGUAAUAAAUGUUUUGGAUAUCCGAUUGGGGUAAGAAUUUUUGAGACUCUGAUCUGAUGGCUUAAAAUUGAUCUGGGCGAAGAGCAGGAUUCUGCUUACUUAAGAUCCAAAUUAAUAAAUCAAAACAUAGUAUUUCGUUGCAAGUGUUAAAGCAAGUUUCAAUCCACUGUGUGCUACCUUAACUUCAUUGUUUAUAAGCAGUAGUCAUACAAGAACCUUCAAGUUAUUCAUAAACGCGAAAAAACAAAACAUCAUCAGCAAGCAAAAGAAUAUCAAUUUAUGAGACAUACUAAUCAGUUUUUAUCUCAGGGAGUUGAAGAGUUUCACUUUGUCUAAAUUUCUCAAGAGUAAAAAUCCUUCUGUCAGAGAGUCAUGAAAAACCUUUGCAUGUAGAAACAAAGAUCGUAUCUACAGCCAGUAGUCAUGUCGGUAUUCUAAUGUAUAUUGUUAAAGCUACAGAGAAACAAUGAUCACGUUCAUGCCUCACAACUCAACCAAUAUUCAAAUUUAUUAAAAAGUUCACAUUUUUUUCAUGUUAAUACUUCCGCAUCUCAAGAUUCUAAGAAAAAAAAAGGAAUUCUAAAGCAGUUUCUAAUAAUAUUUCUCAUCGUUGUAAUAGCAUAAUUAAUCAGACGUUCAAAAAAAAUAAUAAUGCAAACACAAUGCUACCGGUAGUUAAAUUUUGUUCAAUGUGUGGAUAAUUAAACUAAACCAUGUUCAUUGUUCAAUACCAAAUCUAAUAAGUAGUUAAAUGACAGCUGAAACAUUUUAGAAACUACAAAAUAGUUAUGAAAAUAAAUAAAUUUAAUGGAAACACUACUUAUGAAAGUUGAUGUUAAUUUCAAUUUAGACAAAAAUAAAACGAAAAGUAUUUUUAUUAAAUAAAAACUAUAAUAAAAAAUAAUAAUUAAAAUAAUAAAAUGUCACAUAUAUAUUUAAUAAUAAAUAAAAUAAAUUAUAUCAGAAAUAUAAAUAGAUAUCAAACAUUAAACUAAAUAAUAUAAUAUCCCGCGAAAGAAAUCUGAGCUGAGUUUAUACUAUAGGCACAAGAACUCUGGGAAGCAAAAACACGAGAGCUCAAAAUAAACCUAUAUUUAAAUUUUUUAAUAUGUUGUAAUCAAUCAAAAUUAAACUACAACCAAGAUUUUUAAAAAAUAUACAAAAAUAUAUGAAAUAUUAAAUUAAAAUUUAAAUCUAUGUAGUAAAGCGUAUGUUAGAAUAUCUUAUAAAACUUUUAGGCCUUCAUCACCAUUUGCAACUAUAUAUAGAAAAACAAUGUCAAACUUCAAUACAUUUUGUUAUGUAUAAACUGCAUAAAAAUGUCAAAGAAAGUAUAUAGAAAAUGACUUUGAAACAAUCAAAAUAUGAAUUAAUAAUUUAGAAUGGUUUGGUUUGUACCAAGUUUUUUUUUUUUUGUAAAAAAUCCUAUAGAUUGCUUCCGUGUGCGAUAGAGUUGGUUUGAACUACAGUCUAAGAGAAAUCAAAAGUAUAUUCAAAAACAAAAGUAUAAAAGUUAGAAAAAUAUAAGCCAAAGUAACCAAAAGAAUUUCACACAAAAGAAACAAAGAAAUGCCAAAAAAGAGCAACUGCUAAUAAUGUCAAUUACUAACAUUCUCCAAAAAAACUAUAUUAACUUUGACAAAUAAUUUCUCUAAAUAAAAACUCCAUUCUACACUGUUUUAUAAACCCUCACAAAAAUGGUAUUAGAAAACUCGAUCUCAUUUUCUUUUGAUCGAAUCCGAUUGAUUUAUGUAUUUUAUAGUGUUAUAAAACUUAAAACAUUAUAAAAACUUACAAUUCGGGAUUAACACAACAAUGAUACUAAGAAAUUGAUCAUUUUUAAUUAUAUAAUUUAAAUUUGGUGUAGGCAACAUAAUCAUAUUCACAUCCAACUUAACAUAAAAAAUUUUUACGCAAAAUUAUAUUUUUUUUAUAAAAACUGAUCCAUCAAAAAUAAAAAUAAAGAAUUUUAAUUAGACAUAUAUGCGAAGAUGAUAUAAAAAUAUGUUCUCAUUAUUAAAAAAACAUAACAAAAAAAGAAAGAUAAUAACUAAAAUAGUAUAAAAUCAUAAAAUAUAAUUGACAACAAAUAAAAACAAAAAUAAGUUAGAAAAAUAAACAAACAUCAAACGUUAAGUAAAAUGUAUAUAAUAUCUCUUCUCACCGAAAUACAUAUAAUAUCUCUUCUCACCGAAAUUUUUCUAAAAGACAAUAUAUAUCUCUUUCAAUUGUAAGCCUAAAACACAAAUCAUAAAAUUAUACAAAAAUAAAAAUAUAGAUCACAAAUAAAGUAUAUCCCGUCCAUAGGGCGGGCCUACCCUAGUAUAUAUAUAUAUAUAUAUAAAGUAUUAUAAUAAAUCUGUUACGCUAAAUGAUUAUGUAACGCCUCGACCACCCACGGAUAAUAGGUCACUCACCUCCACUCACUCGUCUAUUAGCCCAUUUCUUGUGGCAGACAGUGCAUUAAUUUUUCAGAGGCUGAGAAUUUUUGUUUACUGACCCUACAAUCACCACAUGAUUUUUUUCAUGUUUUGGUAUCACUCACAUGAUAUCAUAAAUUUUCAUGUCACAUAUUCUUUCAUUAUUCCAACUCAAGCAUGAUUAACUCUAGAGUUCUAAAUGGAUGUGUGACAUAAAAUGUAAGUGCAAUUUGGUGACGCAGGUAGCCAAAUCAAUUCUUUUAAACUUUUUCAUAUACCAUUAAAGAGAUGUUACAAUUCACCUCUCUCACAUAAUGUAACGUCCUCGUUGCGCUCCAAUAUCGUUAUCCAUGUUAGUGUGAGCCUACACAAGGACUCUACACUUGUCUGGAUUUGGCUAAGAUGCCACUUGUAACGCCCCCAAUUGCUCACGACUAAUGGACCACCUGUGCCAGCUCACUUAACCCAUAGGAUCCAUUCCGUGACUUUUCCCCAUGUCUUAACUCACUCACACGAUAUCGCAAAUCACUUCCCGAUAGGUCACAAAUCUUUUCAUUACUCUAGCUUAAGCAUGCUUGACUCUAGAGUUAUAAACAAAUGCAUGACCAAAAAUGUAGGUGCUUUUUGGUCAAAUCAAUGCUUUUAAACCUUUCCAUAUACCACAAACCGGUAUGCUACAUACAGAUUAUUCCAAAAUUGUUAUUAUUAUAGGUAACUAAGAAUAUUACAAAACGGAACCGACAACUCUUUUAAAACUAUUUGAAUUGUUUCCAUUAUGUUAAGACAUUCAAACUCUUAAAAAUAACUAUGCCAACCAAUGAUUUAUAAAUUAUGUUGAUAGCUAGUGGAAGUUAUAAAGGAAAUCUACACUUAGUCUUGAGAACCAAAUCGGUGCUGAUAGGCAUGGACGUUUGGUGGCCCAUCCGGUUUCGAUCUGGGUGAUCGGAUUUUUGGUGUUAUACUCCUAAGUACCAUUUGAGGUUUACUAAUUAUCGGAUUAGGUUCAGUUCGGUUCCUUCCGGGUUCGGUCGGAUCAGAUUUAACCAAUGUUUAAAAUCGUCCAAAAAUAUAUUUUUAAAACCUCAAAAAUUGUCAAAGAGAAUUAUAAAAUAUAUAAAUAAUUUACAAAUCUAAUUAAAAAUUAGUUAAUUUAUCUAAAUUAACUAAAAAGUAUUCAAAAUAAUUAAUAAAACAAACUACACAAAUAUUUUGAAUACUUUAAAAUAUCUAAAUCGCCUUAAAAUAUAUGAAAACAUUAACAUAUUUAACUAAUUUCGGAUAUCUUCGGAUCCUAGUUCGGAUUUCGAUUCUGUUCGGGGCAUAACCAAAGUCCAAAGUACUAAGCUCAUAAGUCCCGUUCGGAUAUUUUUGUAUAACAGUUUGGAUUCAGUUUCAGUUUUUCCGGUUCGGGUUUAGGUUGGUACUUCGGGUUGAGGUAAAAUCGCCCAUGCUUAGGUGCUGAUCCGAAAAGACUUUCAACAAAAAGUUAACUAUAUCCAUGUCUUUCUGUUUCAUGGUGAAGUGUGCACGUCUCAUGGCUAGGGAGAACACGAUCAUGUGGUGGCUCGGGUCUGAUUUUCUCGGAAUGUUGAAAUUCUGAGUUUAUCUGAGUGACACACUCAUACUCCGGUGAUCUUAGUUGUGAAGAGCGUUUUCUAAGUAGAGGCUAAGACGCGUUUAAUAUCUGAAGCUGAGCUAGUGGUGCGAUGGAAUCUCGAGUUGACAUCUCAUAACGAAUUCAUGCUUUUCACCGCCAGGUUGAGUAAUCAUUGGUUAAAUCUGAUCCGAACCGAACCCGGAAGGAACGAACUGAACCUGAUCCGAUAAUUAGUAAACCCCAAAUGGUACUUAGGAGUAUAACACCGAAAAUAUAUUUUUAAAACCUCAAAGAGAAAUUACAAAAUAUAUAAAUAAUCUACAAAUCUAAUUAAAAAUUAGUUAAUUUAUCUAAAUUAACUAAAAAGUAUUCAAAAUAAUUAAUAAAACAAACUACACAAAUAUUUUGAAUACUUUAAAAUAUUUAAAUCACCUUAAAAUAUAUGAAAACAUUAACAUAUUUAACUAAUUUCGGAUAUCUUCGGAUCCUAGUUCGGAUUUCGAUUCGGUUUGGGGCAUAACCAAAGUCCAAAGUACUAAGCUCAUAAGUCCCGUUCGGAUAUUUUUGUAUAACAGUUUGGAUUCAGUUUCGGUUUUUUCGGUUCGGAUUUAGGGUUGUACCUCGGGUUGAGGUAAAAUCGCCCAUGCCUAGGUGCUGAUCCAAAAUGACUUUCUACAAAAAGUUAACUAUAUCCGUGUCUUUCUCUUUUAUGGUGAAGUGUGCACGUCUCAUGGCUAGGGAGAACACGAUCAUGUGGUGGCUCGGGUCUGAUUUUCUCGUGAAUGUUGAAAUUCUGAGUUUAUCUGAGUGACACACUCAUACUCCGGUGAUCUUAGUUGUGAAGAGCAUUUUCUAAGUAGAGGCUAAGACGCGUUUAAUAUCUGAAGCUGAGCUAGUGGCGCGAUGGAAUCUCGAGUUGAUAUCUCAUAACGAAUUCAUGCUGAACUUGAGUUCCUUAUUCGCCGCCAGGUUGAGUAAUCAUGUUCUUAGCUGUUUAUUAUGUUUCCCGGUCCAGGAGGCUGUAUCGGGUUCUCAGAACAAGGUUCUUCUUGGACUUCCAUCGAGUUGUUCCAUUGUUUAUUGAAGAGUUGGUGAUAGUCCAUAUGCAGUUAUUAGUGCCUUAAACUCGCUCUCUAGUAACCUUUGUUAUUAAGUUUUGACGAUCAAGAUAAUCAAGCCUUCAUCAUGUCCGCAACUACGAUUUGAUCUCCAUCGGUUGCUGGAGGCGGUGAGAUGACUGCAUUGGGAUCGGCUACUCCAGUUUGAAUGUUGUCACGUUCAGGUGUUCAUGUCAUCGUUGAUCUUCUGUGGUUUCUUCCUAAUUCCAAUUGUUGUAUUUGAAUUCGGCAUGCAUAGAUAUAACACAUUUUCGAUGAUGAGUUUUUUGAAAGAAGCUUUACAAAAAAGAAUUAAUGAUUACAUGACAAGGUAUUGAAAUUGCUAGGAAAUUGUGGUUAAAAAAAAAGAACACUCCAAAAUACUUAUAUCUCUUCAACCUUUUUGUAAAUUAUGAAUCCAUUUGUUAAGAUUUAAGCAGGAAGUUCAAUACACACAUCGAAUUACAAUCUCACACAAGCACUCAAGAACAAUCGAUAUCAACAAGACAUCGAUUACUUGUCAUACCAAUCUCAACACGAGAAACGCCUCAAGACUUAAGUCUCCAAUGCUAAGCUUUGAUCACAAAUCCGAUGAUGAAGAUGAAAGAAUGGAAAAACAAUUACAUAUAAAAGUCUAAUUGAAUGUAAAUG
This is a long non-coding RNA of Brassica rapa (field mustard), 7525 nucleotides long. RefSeq lists it as uncharacterized. Lineage: Eukaryota; Viridiplantae; Streptophyta; Magnoliopsida; Brassicales; Brassicaceae. The record is from RefSeq and is a predicted model, not a curated record.